UACGUAGGGGGCAAGCGUUGUCCGGAAUCAUUGGGCGUAAAGAGUACGUAGGCGGUCCGUUAAGCGGAGGGUGAAAGGCAUAGGCUCAACCAAUGUGAGCCCUCCGAACUGACAGACUUGAGUGCGGGAGAGGAAAGCGGAAUUCCUGGUGUAGCGGUGAAAUGCGUAGAUAUCAGGAGGAAUACCGGUGGCGAAGGCGGCUUUCUGGACCGUAACUGACGCUGAGGUACGAAAGCGUGGGGAGCAAACA
This 250-nucleotide ribosomal RNA is filed under the name uncultured prokaryote. RNAcentral describes it as "partial 16S ribosomal RNA". It matches the Rfam family "Bacterial small subunit ribosomal RNA", at positions 524 to 774 of the family's 1533-position model. The record is from RNAcentral.